AGAAUAUAGAAUUGUUGACGACAUUCCGACCGACUCCCGAGCGGGGUGCUUUUGUAUCGCCUAUCCGAUUCUCGAUAAGAGUACCUGCCGGUGCCGAACCACGUAACGGAGUCCUUUCUUUAUCCAAACCAUCUUUCCUAAAUCCACUAGCGGCAUCAAAAGGGGUUUCAUUCUUUCUAGACACUUCUGUCUCUAAGGAGAGCGACAUUUCCGCUUCGUCUGCUGUUAAAUAUGCGUCGCUGUCAACAGAACUAAUGUCAGAAUCGUCAAUUUCUCAACCUUUCCAGAGUUUACGGGAGGCAAAUCGUUGGCGCCUACGACAUCCUCCCGCAACCCCCAAAAAGGAGAGGCGUCUGUGUCGUCUGUUUCAAUUUAAUUUGAGGAUUGCGGAACAACGCAUCGGCAUUCAGCGAAAUCUACCUUACAAACGUUCGCGUUUCCGAUAAGAGGCUACGAAGAUAGGGACAAUCUUGACCCUUCGACCGUUACUGAUUCUAAUCUACGUGCAAUGUCGAUAACAGCUUCAAGAUCUGGUAUUUCUUGACUGUUUUUAUUUUUAAGCAUUAUUCUUAACAUUCCGUUCCGAAGGCCAUUAAUAAAUGUGGCUAUAGCCGUAUUAUUCAAUAAAUCAACAACACCGCUUAACUGUUCAGAAUUGUAUGUGUCCUUUGCUACUUCUAUUCCGGUAUUUAAUAUUUUACUUACUCGCGAUCCGAAAACCUCUACCGAAUCAUUAGUUCCCUGUUUCAAUCCCGUAAAUUCCUCGUUGAUACUAUGCAUGUUAAACGUACGCACGUAUGCCCUUUUAAGUAAUCCAAUUAACUCAUCUAAUGUACUUGGUUCCCGGCGAUUUGAAAGUACUAAUUUUGCAUGCCCCUCGAUUUUACCACGAAUUAAAAACAGAAGACCGGCUCUAUCCUCAGGCUUUACUUUGGAACUAAUCAGUUGACACUCCUUAAUAAAUUCAGUCAGAGAACAAGAUUUUCCAUCAAACUGAGGUAUCAAAUCCUUCACUAAAGAGAGACGAAGAUAUGACGCUGGAAGCAUACUAGAUGACUCUAUAGAGGUUGGAGUAUUUUUAGAAACAGCAGCAGCAAACGUAGUCGAGGACAAAGAUCGGUAGAAGAUGCCCCGGAAGAUGAAGAAAGUUCUGCAUUUGAUGAAUCUAUGUUUAAUUCCUCUACCAAAAAUGUAUUUUCCCGCAGGCCGAUUUUGCGACUCCUUUUGGCGCGCAUAUACUUUAACUUAUACGGCGGCAUUUUGUCAAAUUAUUUCUAACGGUUUCACUUAACGAGUUUUCUAUUUUCAAACACCAAAUUCCGUCCGUCGGUAAUCCGUUAUCUCGGUUGGCCUUGAAUCACGGGGAGAUCCUCUGGUUCUGCGAUUUGAUGAUGAUCUCUGUUUCCAAGUCGAAGAGAGGUCCAAUGAUGAUGUGAACGAGGUGCAUGUGAUUUCGGUGGAUGGCUUGCACGGCAGCCGAAAUCACCUGUCUCCGGUAUUCACCCUACGCUCUUGAGGAAACCGUGCCAAAACUCAAGAGGAAGAAGUUGCACUAAUGUUAACAAUGUUCACUUAUAUUAUAAAAGCUCAAUGAAGCAGUUCGUAAAACGUUCAGUUAUUUAUUUAACACACGCCCGCGAGCCGGCAAAGUUAUUAAAGCGUACACAAGUCUAACACAAUCACUUUGUUUUGUUUUGCGUUAUUUACAGUUAUUACACUGAAUACACUUUUUUAAAAUUAUGCCGUUUUAAAUUUAUCACCUUUAAAAGUUUAUCCCUUUUUGAAUAAUCCCUUUUUUUUUUAAACAUCCCACCGCUGUCACCAAUUUGUUGCGCGUGGAUUUCAGGUGUCUAGGGAUUUUUGUAUAAAUGUUACGUGGGUAAGGUGACCGUGGAGCGC
This is an RNA transcript of Osmia bicornis bicornis, 1899 nucleotides long. RefSeq lists it as uncharacterized. The transcript has 5 exons. The record is from RefSeq and is a predicted model, not a curated record. NCBI's taxonomy places the organism in Eukaryota, Metazoa, Arthropoda, Insecta, Hymenoptera, Megachilidae.